UGGUUCCACGUCAGCGGCCCUCCGCCUCUUGGGUUUGCGUGACGGUUCCACACCGACCCUCCGCCUCUUGGGUUCGGGAGGUGGUUCCAUCUCAGCCGCCCUCUGCCUCUUGGGUUUGCGUGGUUUUUCUGCCUCAGCCUCCUGAGUAGCUAAGGGAGGUGUCUUGAGAUUAUCAUCGGCUGAGGGUGGAAGCGGCCCCCGCAGACGCUCGGCAGGUGUCUUGAUAUUAUCAUCUGCUGAGGGUGGAAGGGCAGUGAGCUGACGCUCGGAAGGUGUCUUGAGAUUAUCAUCCGCUGAGGGUGGAAGGGGAGUGAGCACACACUCGGGAGGUGUCUUGAGAUUAUCAUCCGCUGAGGGUGGAAGGGGAGUGAGCAGACACUCGGGAGGUGUCUUGAGGCUCAGGGAGUUAUCAGUUAUAGAAUGUUGUUGAGUUGGAGGAGGUGGCUGGUGGCCCAUCCUG
RNAcentral lists this long non-coding RNA (460 nucleotides) under Homo sapiens (human). RNAcentral describes it as "HSALNT0384970". The record is from RNAcentral. Lineage: Eukaryota; Metazoa; Chordata; Mammalia; Primates; Hominidae.